GAUGAACGCUAGCUACAGGCUUAACACAUGCAAGUCGAGGGGAAACGGCAUCGAAAGCUUGCUUUUGAUGGGCGUCGACCGGCGCACGGGUGAGUAACGCGUAUCCAACCUGCCCAUCACUUGGGAAUAACCUUGCGAAAGUAAGACUAAUGCCCAAUGACAUCCCACGAAGGCAUUCGAAUGGGAUUAAAGAUUUAUCGGUGAUGGAUGGGGAUGCGUCUGAUUAGCUUGUUGGCGGGGUGACGGGCCACCAAGGCAACGAUCAGUAGGGGUUCUGAGAGGAAGGUCCCCAACAUUGGAACUGGGCAAAGGUCCAAACACCUACGGGCGGCAGCAGUGAGGAAUAUUGGUCAAUGGGCGAGAGCAUGAACCAGCCAAGUAGCAUGCAGGAUGACGGCCCUAUGGGUUGUAAACUGCUUUUAUAAGGGAAUAAAGUGGGUCACGUGUGACUUUUUGCAUGUACCUGAUGAAUAAGGACCGGCUAAUUCCGUG
Molecule: ribosomal RNA, 492 nt
Filed under: uncultured bacterium
Lineage: Bacteria
Description: partial 16S ribosomal RNA
Rfam family: Bacterial small subunit ribosomal RNA
Source: RNAcentral